ACCUGACUGCUAUCGGAUUGGUACUAAGCCAUGCGAGUCAUUGUAGCAAUACAAGGCGGACGGCUCAGUAACACGUAGUCAACCUAACUCGUGGACGUGGAUAACCUCGGGAAACUGAGAAUAGACCGCGAUAGAUCAUAGUGCCUGGAAUGGCUUAUGGUCCAAACAGUUUACUGCCAUGGGAUGGGACUGCGGCCUAUCAGCUUGUUGGUGAGGUAAUGGCCCACCAAGGCGAUUACAGGUACGGGCUCUGAGAGGAGAAGCCCGGAGAUGGGUACUGAGACACGGACCCAGGCCCUAUGGGGCGCAGCAGGCGAGAAACCUUAGCAAUGUGCGAAAGCACGACUGGGUCAGUCCGAGUGAUUCCUGAUAAAGGAGUCUUUUGCCUGUCCUAAAAGCACAGGUGAAUAAGGGGUGGGCAAGUCUGGUGUCAGCCGCCGCGGUAAUACCAGCACCUCGAGUGGUCAGGACGUUUAUUGGGCCUAAAGCAUCCGUAGCCGGCUCUGCAAGUCUUCGGUUAAAUCCACCUGCUCAACAGAUGGGCCGCUGGAGAUACUACAGAGCUAGGGAGUGGGAGAGGCAGACGGUAUUCAGUGGGUAGGGGUAAAAUCCUCUGAUCCAUUGAGGACCACCAGUGGCGAAGGCGGUCUGCCAGAACACGUUCGACGGUGAGGGAUGAAAGCUGGGGGAGCAAACCGGAUUAGAUACCCGGGUAGUCCCAGCUGUAAACGAUGCAAACUCGGUGAUGCAUUGGCUUAUGGCCAAUGCAGUGCCGCAGGGAAGCCGUUAAGUUUGCCGCCUGGGAAGUACGGACGCAAGUCUGAAACUUAA
This 831-nucleotide ribosomal RNA is filed under the name uncultured soil archaeon. Its description in RNAcentral is "bacterial SSU rRNA". It matches the Rfam family "Archaeal small subunit ribosomal RNA", at positions 21 to 859 of the family's 1478-position model. The record is from RNAcentral.